RNAcentral lists this long non-coding RNA (31217 nucleotides) under Prunus persica (peach). Its description in RNAcentral is "long non-coding RNA (PPER_LNC008453)". The stretch from base 23488 to 23594 matches the Rfam family "Plant small nucleolar RNA R71". Lineage: Eukaryota; Viridiplantae; Streptophyta; Magnoliopsida; Rosales; Rosaceae. The record is from RNAcentral.
GAAAAACAAUCACAACCCUGAACUAAAAAGAAUAAAACACCAGCUAUGGUGGUGAGCUUGGGUAAACUUGGUUGCUGAUGAUGAUGACCUUGUUGGCGUUUGAAGCAGAAGCUGAAGAAGGCCUAUUAGUAGUGUUGUCUGAAACUGAAACAGAGCAAAAGCAUUUGCACAAUUUGAUCAAACAUCAUCCUCUUCACUAACCUCUUCUUCACCGGGAACACACUUCCAGCUUUUGGUUUGAACAACCAUGGCUCAGCCUUGCUUUGAUCUUGAGAUGAACUCAACUUCAGCUUCAUGGGCUCCUUUGGGUGGUGGUGCUCUGUUUUGGGGCAGAGGAGGUCUUCUUCCCCAUCUGGCUUCAAGUUGUUCCACGCCCUCUCUGCUUCUGAUGAAGUUUUCUUCAUUGCCAUGCCUGUAAUCUCUCUGUCUGUCUGAUUGUGGGCUUCCUUCUGGUUCGGUGUGUUUAUGAAAGCCGUCCACGAGUUUAAUUUAUAGACAAGAAAAAAUUGUUUCCUUUUCCAUUGUAGGCCCUACUAAAGAAGGACCAUUAUUUUUUACCCAACAAAAACAGAAAAAAGGAAUGACUUCUCCUAAUUUGUUCUCUUAUAGUCUUGGACACUUGAAGACAGAAAUAAAUUUGGAAAAAGACAAUCCACUCGUACGAUAAAUUUAACAUCCUGAGUCUGUCCUUAAGUGUAGCAAAGUCAGAAAUUAAUUUAUUCUUAAAUUGAUAAUCAGUCUCAGAGAGCAACCUACUUGGACGAGUUCGGAUAUUCACACCAAGAACAGCAGUCAUGUCAUAUAUAGGUGCCCACUAAAAUACAAGGUGCCCAAGAAAUAAUUCUGCGUUUCCAUUCCAUGAGCUUGCUUGGACGCUGCCUACUAAAAUACAAAGGUGCCCAAAAAAUGGCUUUUACAUGACGAUAUUUUCUUCACGUGCUUUUAGCUUUCAAUAUUAUUGCUCCCCCUUUUUUUUUAACAGUUCAAAUUCCACCCGAGAAAAAGGUGCCCCUUCUGUGUCGAGUGUCAUCUUUCUAACGAGUCUGAUUUGAUUGGAAUAAUUAGCACUUGGUUAAGCCAAUCAACACGGGCCAUGAUUUUCUUUAUUUUUUUACCAUCAUUUUUUUUGUUGUCAAAAUGUUAAUCUAACCAAGUGUUAAUUGGCUUAGCCAGUUCAUUGUUUUUUAUUUUUAUUUUAUCUUUGUAACUAUGGCCAGAGCCCAAAACAAUUAAGCAAGCUUAACUAAUAUAAUAAUAGCCUAAAGAGGCCCAGCAGAGGGAGACAGGUCGCAGGCCUUUGAGCCCAAUUUCUAAACUUAAGCCCAGAAGCGAUGUUUUUUUAACACAGUCGAUGGUGGAGGAGGGGCGAAUCAAACCUAAGACCUCAAGUACAUGUGUGGCUAGUCUUACUGUUUCAAGUUGUAAAAUGGGGGUCUUCCGAUUCCACAACUUUUGUAAUGAACUUCCUCUCUAAUCAAGGACCAUGCGACAAAGAAGAGGAAAAGGCAUUUCACUUAUGGAAAAAAUAAAACUGUAAUGACCUGAAAAUGGCAGAUAUUAUUUGUGGUGUUGCAUCUAUAUAUAUAAAGCAAAAGGUAGAGAAUGGUGAAACAUUCAAAAUACCAGAAAAUGUCCUUUGUUAAUUCAAACAUUAAGAAUUGAAAUUAUUAAUUAAAUGAGGAUAAUAUGGUAAAUUCAUAUUUUUUAAUAUUAAAAAAAUUAAAAUUAAAAACAAAAUAAGAUAAUAGGUCCUACUUUUAUGGAACAUAACUACCCUGUUAUCUUUUAUUAAUUCUAAAAAUAAAAUAAAAAAGAAAAAGAAAAUCAAUUGGCACAUACGUGAGCAUGUGUCAAGGGGCUAGUAUUGAAUAAUAGAUGAAUUAGCUUAGCCUGGUUUUCUAAUUUUCCACUUUCUAAGUUACAACUCAAUUCAUUUUUGUUUUUGUUUUUAUUUCAUCAUUGUGGCAAAGGUCAAAGGCAAUAACACCAAAGCAAGCUUAACUAAGAAUAGCCUGGUACCUGGUAGAAGGAGACGGGUCAAAGGCCUCUGAGCACAACUCCAAACUUAAUAGCUAAGGACCACACCAAACUAAAUUAAGCUUUUUUUUUCUUCUUCUUUAUACAAGUGAUUGGGGAAUUGAGGUUUACACAAAUAUUUAUUGGGUGUCUAAGAAUUUAAACCUCAGCUCAUAUGGGAGUGAAAGCAAUGGUGGAACUAUAAAUUUUUUGGUGUGUACUAAAAUUAUUAAUUUUUUUUGUAUGGGAGAUCUAUAUAAACAAUGAGAACUAAUUUAUUAUUAUUAUUUUUUGGUAUGCUAAUUGAUACAGUGAGAACCAAGUGGGAAUCAAAAACUGAAAUUGUGGAAGUAGAAGCACGAACAAAAUUGUACAAUUCAUAGCAGUAGCAUAUCCAAAAAAAUUUAAACAGAGGCAUAAACACUAAAGCUUUGUUGCACUUGUAGCAGGCAUGUUUACGUAUCACUAAUGGAGAAAGUAAAGAAUAAGAGAAUUUAGGAAUCAGGGAGUAUUGAAUCGGUAUGGAAAGAAUCAUUCCCAUUAAGCAGUUUACUAAACAUAUGAAAUUAGCAAAGGAAUGAGGUUGAUUCUCAUUGUUAUUGUUUACUAAUUUUUAUGAAUCAGAAUCCAAAUUAAUUUGAUUACUAAAAUGCCCUGCACAUUUUCACCACAUCACAUAUAAUUCUCAAAUUGGCUAAGGAUACCAAACUAAUCCUACAGCAAACUAGUAAGAUGGUGUAAACAGGAGGAAUCAAUAUGUUAAACAAGAUGAACAUCAAGAGCCUAAUUCAAUGAUAAUUUUAAUAACACCUUUGUCCAGAGCCAAUUUCAAACAAAAAAAUAAACUCCAAUAACACCUUGGAGCGUCUUUGAACUUCUUAGUGUGAGUUUUUUUUUUUUUUUAAGGGUUUGGGGUGUUUUGGAAUUAUGGUAAAAUGGUAAGGGUAUUUUUGGAAGUUAAUAAGGGAAAACAUGAAUGAGAAUCGUAUCAACUACCUCCCUCUAGUUGAUCUGAUACCUAAUUUUGAGGGGAUGUGAUUACGGAUUUUGAGGUACGGCCCACUUAUUUUUUCAUUCCUGAUUGCAAGUAAACGCAGGGGAAGUCAGGAAUGGAAAUCAUUCUCUUUCCUUCCAUACCCAUUACUGAUACGUAAACAUGCCAUGGAUGUGAACUUGCAAAUCAGAAGAAGAAGAAAAGAGAAGAAAACAAUGGUUUCCUACUCACGUGGUCUCCAAACCACAAAGUAAUUAAAAAAAAAACAAGUUAUACAUAUAUACACACUAGCCCCUUGGCACAUGCUCACGUAUGUGCCAAUUGGUUUUAUUUUUUAUUUUUUAUUUUAUUUUUAGAAUUAAGAAAAUAUAAUAUGGGUAGUUAUAUUACAUAAAAGUAUGACAUAUUAUCUGAUUUUGUUUUUAAUUUUAAUUUUUUUAAUAUGAAAAAAAAUGUGAAUUUACCAUAUUAUCCUCAUUUAAUUAAUAAUUUUAAUUCUUAAUGUUUGAAUUAACCAAUGCCAUUUUCUGGUAUUUUGAAUGUUUCAUCAUUCUCUGUCUUUUGCUUUAUAUAUACUAGUCUCCCUGCACACACGCUUCUGUGCUUGCGAGAGGUUUUUUAUAUAAAAAAAGCCUAAAUUUAUUUUAGAAUCAAAAAGAUAAUGGGUAGUUGUGUUUCAUAAAAAUAUGAUUCAUUAUCUUCUUUUUUUUUCUUUUUUUUAAUAUGAAAAAGUGUGAAUUUACCAUAUUAUCCUCAUUUAAUUAAUAAUUUUAAUUCCUAAUGUUUGGAUUAAAUAAGGGCAUUUUCUGGUAUUUUAAAUGUUUCAUCAUUCUCAGCCUUUAGCUUUAUAUAUACUAGCCUCUCUGCACGCGCUUACGCGCUUGCGAGAGGUUUUUUUAAAAAAAUAAGUAAAUUUAUUUUAGAAUUAAAAAAGAUAAUGGGUAGUUGUGUUCCAUAAAAAUAGAACCAUUAUCUGCUUUUUCUUUUUCUUUUAAUUUUUUAAAUAUGAAAAAGUGUGAAUUUACCAUAUUAUCCUCAUUUAAUUAAUAAUUUGAAUUCUUAAUGUUUGCAUUAACUAAGGGCAUUUUCUGGUAUUUUGAAUGUUUCAUCAUUCUCUGCCUUUUGCUUUAUAUAUAUAGAUAUAUGUAUAUAUAUAUAUAUUCAUGGGAGAAGGAAAUACCUUAUAAAUUAGCACCAAAUCACUGUUUUAUCAAAUCUUACACCAAGCUGAAGCCCAAUCCAGUCUACACGCAGUUUCACACUUGGAUAGUAUAACCCAAUCAACUGAGCUAUAUCCCAUUGGCCAAAUUAAAUUAAGCUUAGUCUCACGUACUUAAAGAGCUCAUAAUUCUGUUUUACAGAAAAUAGAAUUUUAUUAAAUUGGCCUUUUCCCUUCUCCCUCUCUAACAUGAAUUAAUGAUGAUGAUGAUUUUAUAAUUUUCACUUUACAUCUUGAUGUCAGGUAUUUAUUGAAUUCAAUUCAAUUUGUUGUGUUAUGAUUAAUUGCAUUCAAAUUAAUCAGAAUGAUAUUAUCAUGUGGUAUUAUCAAUUUAUAUAUCGUAGCAUGAAGUUAUUAAUUUACGUAUUAUUAUAUCACGUGAAAAAUUACUCCAAAUAAGGUCAGCUUGAUACCUUUCUCACAUAUAUAUAAUGUCAAUCAAUAGACUGAAAUAGGAGAGGUAUUAUUUCUAAUUCAUUUGAUUCUUUGUUGGGUUUCUAUGUAAGUGUAAUGAAUGAAAGGCUGAGAACUAGCAUUAUAGGCCUAAUAGCUAGUCAUGACUUUUGAUUAAAAUCCAUGUUGUACAAGUUUUUUGAGAAGAAAAAGGCAAAAGGGCAAGAUAUUAGAGCCUUUCCACCCAUGAUGCGGGAUGAACUGGCAAGACUUUUCAUCAUAACUAUUGGCAAGCAGCUGUUAGCCUAUGCCAAAGAUAAGAUUACCAUUUAAUUAAACGCCUCAUUAAUUUGUUUCACCAACCAUCUACCCUUUUUUUUUUGAAAAAAUGAAAGGAAAAAAAUUAUGGAAAAUUACUAAAAAAUUUAGAAUUUUUUUUAUACAUACCUACCAAUUUUUUAUUUAUUAAUUUCAUAUAUAUAAAUAAAAUUAGUAGUUACCCUUGAGUUGCCAUGGCAAUGGGUGGAAGAACAAUAAAAUAAAAAAUUAUUAUGACAGAUACUAUUCGCGUAAAUAGUAACCGCUCUUAUUUGUCCUUGUCAUUUAUCAUGACAAAUGGGUGGAAAUGCUCUUUGAAAUGGCACAUGGAAUUUCUGUUCAUAUAUAACCCACAUGCUAGUACAAAUGUCAAUUGAUCUUAUUGAUUAGGGUUAGGUUAUCCUCUUUAUAGAAACUCAGAGGCCAUCCUGCUUUGUUAAUCUUUGUUUAAAUGUGAUUGAUAUAUAAAUCUUUCUACCGAUUGGGUAUUUUCCAAUUUGGAAGCUUCAAGCUAGGUUAUGCGACAAGGUUGAAUAUAAAAUAUAUCCAAAUGCACCAUAACUUAUCGUUUUUUCCUCCAAAUCAGCAAAUCAAAGAGAUGGCCACAUGAUGAACACAAAGUCAAAUUAUAAUACGUACCCAGUUGGGGGGCUAUAUAUGCAAAAGUUUUGAUUUUGAUUUUUGAUUUGAAAAGAAAAAAGGAUGAGAGCUUGUAAUAUACACCAAAACACAAGAAGACGUACGUCUUUGUUCUAAACUUUCAUUUUUGAAGUUUUUAAUAUUCAAAAGCAUAUGCGACUUCGUAAUUUAUAAUUUAUAGCCAUAUAUAGCACAAUUAGAAUCUUAAAGAUUAAUUUUCCCAAAGGCCUUACAAUUUUAUAAUUAAGUUGGUUUUUCUUUUUUGUCACACGAUCUCAACCUGGUUACAAGGACGGAUUCAGGAUUUCAAAUUGAGGUGGGCUAAAUUUACCUUACGCACAUAACUAUUAAACUUGACAGUACAAAGUGAAGUUCAUUGAUAACAAAAGGCUACAACUAAUCAUAAUCAUAAUGACAUAAUGAAUUUUACUCCCCAAAAAGCAUCUAGUACAUAAUUCUUUUAUAUUUUCUACGUGCGGGGUAUGUGAAGUGAAGGGUGGGUUAUUUUUUACCAAACAAGAAAAUAAGAGGGGUUGUUUUCUACCAAAAAAUUAAAAGAAGCAGGGUUUUUUGUAUUGGCCUUUGGCCCCUUAUGUACCAAAAGGAAAAUGAGAGAAAAAAAGUAAGGGGGAUUAUGAGAGAGCAGUGCAGGGCUAUAGCACAUGUUAGUCAAAGAGUAGGUCGGUACCUGCCUGGUUAUGUUCUUUAACAUUUUGAUUUAUGCAUGGCAUGUUACGUCAAGCCUUGACGUAAAGUUGAAGCUUAAUUCCGCACGCAAUUUGACUCUCCUUAUAAUAAUUUCAUAUUUUAGUAGGGCAUGCAUGCAUGCAGCAGAUUAGGGUGGACCCUGAAGACAUCAUUUCUAGAUAAAUGAAGUUGGACCAAAAAGAACCUGGAAAUAAUGAGGUUAUAAAAAUAAAAAUGAAGUUAUGCAUUGUAUGAAAGCCAUGAUAAAAUUACAUCAACGUCACCAGGAAGGAAAUUAGCAGAAACAGAAAUACAAUUGCAUGCCUGUAGGCUGUGUGUGUACUGGAAACAAUAAAUUUACAUCAGCUCCUAUAUCUAUUCUAUGGCGGUGGGCUUGGAUAAACGUGGUUGCUCAUGAUCUUGUUGGCGUUUGAAGCAGAAACUGAAGAAGGCCUAUUAGUAACAUUGUCUGAAACUGAAGCAAGAGCAAAACCAAUGGACAAUUUGAUCAAACAUCAUCCUCUUCACUAACCUCUUCUUUGCCGGGAAGACACAGCCAGCUUUUGGUUUGAACAACCUUUGCUCAUCCUUGGUUUGAUCUUCAGAUGGGCUCAACUUCAGCUCCUUUGGGUGGUGCUCUCUUUUGGGGCAGAGGGGAUCUUCUUCCCCAUCUGGAUUCAAGUGCUUUAACGCCUUCUCUGCAUCUGAACUUUUCUUCAUUGACAUCUCUCUCUCUCUCUCUCUCUCUCUCUCUCUCUCUCUCUCUCUGUGCCAAACAACCCUCUCUCUCCUCCUUUUGCACCAGGGUAAAAAUGAAUGCAAAUGUAGCCUUCUUUUAAUAUUUGCCGAAGAUGUUGUGAUAUGAUUAAUUGUGUUCAAAUUAAUCAAAAUAACACCGUCAUGUGAUAUUAUCAAUUUAUAUGUUGUAGUAUGAAGUUAUUAAUUCAUGUAUUAUUACUUCACGGAAAAAAUUACUCCAAAUAAGGCCAGCUAGCCUUUCUCACAUAUAUAAUGUGUAUCAAUAGACUGGAAUAGGAGAGGUAUUAUCUCUAAUUCAUUUGAUUUUUUGUUGGGUUUCUAUGUAAGUGUAAUGAAUGAGAGGCUUAGAGCUAGCAUUAUAGGCCUAAUAGCUAGUCAUGACUUUUGAUCAAAAUCCAUUUUGUACAAGUUUUUUGAGAAGAAGAAAGCGAAAGGGCAAGAUUUUACAGCCUUUCCACUCAUGAUGCGGGGUGAACUGGCAAGACUUUUCCUCAUAAUUAUUGGCAAGCAGCUGUAAGCCAAUGCCAAAGAUAAGAUUACCAUUUAAUUAAACGCCUCAUUAAUUUGUUUCACUGUGAAAAAACCCCUCCACUAAGGAAUUCUAGCCCGGAUUGGACGUGGGCUCCAUCAAGGUUGGGUAGUGUUCGAAGGCAAGAUAAGCCCGACCUGGUGCAUGAAGACGUUAACAUCAAUAUUGACGUCAGGGAAGAAAUAAAUUGGAAAAAAAUUCUGAAAAGUUACUAAAAGGUUCAGAAUUUUUUUUAUACAUACCUACCAUUUUUUUAUUUAUUCAUCUCAUAUAAAUAGUAAUUUCCCUUGGAUUGCUAUAGCAAUAGUGGGAAAGCAAAAAAAAAAAAAAGAAAAAAAAAAGAAAAAAAAGCUAUAACAAACACUAUUCACAUAAACAGUAACCGCGCUUGCUUACUUUUGUGACAGGACCCGCCUCAGAAUUUUCCGGAAAUCAGAGCGAAUAUCGUCUUAAAUCUGACAUCACCCCGAUGCGGGCCCACUUACUAAAAACUCGAGACUUUCUACCAACAAUUUGGCAGUCUUCCCUGUAAAAUGAACAAUUCCCAAAUUUUCAACCUGCUCAAAAUUCACAAUUUAACAUAUCCAACCGGCAGCAUGCUUUAAAGUGAAUAAACAGUUUACAACAAAGGCCUCCGGCCUCACAAAUCAAACCCUAACAGGGGCGAUAAUAGAGCAUGUCUAAGAAUUUCAAUUUCAACUUAACAGAGUUCAACUGGAAUAAAAUGAUGAAAGAGUUCCUACGAAGGCUCAAGACUCGGCUCGGCUGCGGAGCUCAAUCAACUAAUAGCUGGGGGGCGCAUAACAGAAAAUUGUGAGUGGACAAAAAUAAAGUUCAUUCAGUGUAAACCAACAUAGUAUAACGCCGCCGUUAGAAAACCAUGCAAGAAAAUCCAAAUGCAUCCCAAAACAUCAUAAUCAAGUAUAUAUAUAUAUAAUCAAAUCAGAACCGGAUACCAAGUCCGAAAUCCAUAAAGAACGCUUUACAAACCCACCAUCCAAAACUUAUAAAUCCUACAACUAAACUCUUGAAAGCGUACCCAUUGGCACGAUCGGCAAAGAAGUAUCCUUACCGAGAAACAAGAACGAAUGAAUAGCUAUAUAUAUAAUUAUAAUUAUAUAAAAACUUAGAGCACUUCCACCCAUUUGUCAUGGCAAAGGGCAAGGGGAGGCAAUGGUUGUUACUAUUCACAUGAAUAGUGGCAGCCUUGGCAUAAGCUCGUUGUGCUUCCACCCAUUGCCAUGGCAACCCAAGGACAACCACUAUUCACAUGAAAUAUGAGGAGAUGAAUUUGUAUAGAGUUUUGGUGUGAGAAGUAAAGAAUAUGGCUAGGUAUUUAUGUAUAAAUUUUUUUUUAUUUUUUGGGUAUUUUUUUUCAAUUUUUUUGUUAUUUAAAUUGGUUGCUGGUGUCAUUAUGAUGUCAGCAUUACAUCACUUACCCAGGCAAGAGCACGGGGUGAUUCUACUUGAGGCCUUGCCCAGGUUGGUGGUCCCCAAACUUGCCUAGGCUUGCCUUUGGCACUGGAACUGUCUUUGUGGGCUAGGCCCUGUCCUACCUCGGCGAAAGGCCUUCCGCUGGAAGUGCCUGAGCGAAAGGCCUUUUGCUGGAAGUGCCCUUAAAGGCCACUAGCGGAACUAGGUAGAGGGCUACCAUGGGCUCUAGCCCAAGUAGCCUAUUUUUAAAAUUAAAAAAUAUUACAUUUAUUUUAAUGUUAUUCACCCCAUAAAAGCUUAGUAGCCCAGUCAAAUGUAGCCUCGUAACCAUUGUUCACUCAACUUUAUAGGCCUAUAAUCAUCUUAUAUUUAAUUUAUUUGCUCAAUUAAGAAACAUAAUCUCUUAAUAAAUACUCAUGAUUUUAACUCUCCACCUUUUACUAUUUUAUUCCGAUUUAUACUUUUAUUUCUAGAAAAAACUUUAGAAACAUGAAGUACCCAAAAAAAAAAUGGUCAUUAGAUUUUAAGCUAAUAACUUUAGCUAACCCACCCAUUAAAAAUUUCCUGAUUCCGCCCUUGUUAGAGGGCCUUCCUACUUUGUUAACCUUUGUUUAAAUGUGAUUGAUAUAUAAACUUUGUUUAGGGUAUUUUCCAAUUUGGAAGCGUCGAGCUAGGUUAUGUGACAAGGUUGAAUAUAAAAUGUAUCAAAAUGCACCAUAACUUAUCGUUUUUUCCUCCAAAACAGCAAAUCAAAGAGAUGGCCACAUGAUGAACACAAAGUCAAAUUAUAAUACGUACCCAGUUGGGGGCCUUUAUAUGCAAAAGUUUUGAUUUUGUCACACGAUCUAGUCCUGGUUAUGUUGUUUAACAUUUUGAUUUAUGCAUGGCAUGUUACGUCAAGUUAAAGCUUGAUUCGGCCCGCAAUUUGACUCUCUCCUAAUAAUUUCAUAUUUUCUUCCAACGACUUAAUUUAAUAUUUGAUAAUUGAGGGUGCGGACAGGGAAAUAAUGAAGUUAUAAAAAAAAUAAAAAAAGAGAUUCCUAGUCACUCAUUGGUGGUCUAUAGUAAUAUGGGAUCUCGAAUAAUAUCAUGCAUGGUCAUGGAAUUGGUGGCAGGAAGAUUGGAUGAUAUCAUGCAUGGUCAUGGAUGGAAAGUCAUGGUUUUGUUUUCAAUAACAUAUGUGGCUUUGAAGUCUUUACUUUUUCAUAAACUUCCUUGGCUAUUCCUCUAAUCAAGGACCAUGUUAAUUGUGUUUUAUUCAUUUUGAUGGUGGCCCAAAUUUACUUGAACUUUCUAGCUUAUUUAGCUUACCAAUGUUACAUAUCACAUCAACUUUAAUAAAAGCCGAGAGAGAGAGAGAGAGAGAGAGAGAGAGAGAGAGAGAGAGAGAGAGAGAUCAAAGAAAACCCAGCAUUCUAUGAAAGCCAUGAUAAAAUUACGUCAACGUCACCAGGAAGGAAAUUAGCAGAAACAGAAAUACAAUUGCAUGCCUGCAGCCUGUAUGUACUGAAUACAAUAAAUUUACAUCAGCUCCUAUAUCUAUUCUAUGGCGGUGGGCUUGGAUAAACGUGGUUGCUCAUGACCUUGUUGGCGUUUGAAGCAGAAGCUGAAGAAGGCCUAUUAGUAAUAUUAUCUGAAACAAUACCAAAACCAAUGGACAAUUUGAUCAAACAUCAUCCUCUUCACUAACCUCUUCUUUGCCGGGAAGACACUGCCAGCUUUUGGUUUGAACAACCUUUGCUCAUCCUUGGUUUGAUCUUCAGAUGGGCUCAACUUCAGCUCCUUUGGGUGGUGGUGCUCUGUUUUGGGGCAGAGGGGGUCUUCUUCCCCAUCUGGAUUCAAGUGCUUCAACGUCUUCUCUGCAUCUGAACUUUUCUUCAUUGCCAUCUCUCUCUCUCUCUCUCUCUCUCUCAGUAUGUGCUUCCUUCUGUGUUGUGUUUAGGAUGAUUGAGGACGAGUUUAAAUAGAUGAGAAAUGUUUGACCAGCAUUUUAAUAUAAUAUUAUGAUUGAUUGUUUAAUCAAAAUUUCUUUUUUGACGAAAAAGUCCUUCAUAAAAAAUGGAUUAGGUCUUUCAUAUUCAACCCAAUCUCGUCCCUCCUUACUCUUUCCCCCCGUUUUCUUUCAUUCGCAACCAACCCAAACUGCACUGCACUGCAAUGGAACUCCAACCACAGACAAAUUGAACAAAUAUAAGUAAACGAAGAAGGGUACGAACGACCACAGUUUUCUAUCUCUGAUCGAUUAUUAUUUUUGUUGCUGAAAAUAAUGGUUUCGUAUUUUUUUUUUCCUGGUAUAAAAGAUGGAUUUAGGCUAUGGGUCACGAUUUAUGGCUGAAAAUUUCUUACAUCUGUGUUGGAUGAUCUUCCUAUUUUAUUGUAUUAAUUUUGUUCUUCCUUUUUGUCUACUCUUUUUGUUUUUGUUUUGUUUUUUUUUUUUGUUUUUGUCAAUUGUUUUCUAUUUAUUCUCGAAAUGAGAAGGAGGGAGGCAAUAAGGCAAAUUCUAUUUAUUUAUUAUAUUGAAACUAUGAAACAUAACAAAAUUCACAUCGAAAUUAAGUGAUGUGGUAUGUUCAGCUCAGCUGCCAUAUAAGGUGGUAUAAAAUUAUAGAAUAACUUAUGCAGUCCAAAUGCAUGACAUUAAGUUUGUAGCACACAUGUGUCAUCCUUUUCCAAUACUCAGAAGACUUCCACUCAUCCCUUUUUUCCAUGGUAAAAAGGGGCCUAGGCUCCAAAACCAAUCUCCACCGAGGAAAACAUUGCAUGGCAAAAAGUGGGCUCCAUGAAAUUGGGCAAGCUCAAAGGCAAGACUUGCUUGGGCUGCUGCCUGAGCAAAAAAUCACUUGUAUUUCACUAAUCCAAACCGUUUAUUUUGUAGAUACUCAUUCAAAGAUCAUCUCUACAAAAAAUCACUUGAAUCCGAUAUCAUUUGAUUAUUCAAUUGAGUUCUUAAAAUUUUAGUACUUUCUUGAAGCACCGUGUUCAUUGAUUUUAUAGGACACAAUUGGAUAUCGAAACGGUUUCCGAUUUGUCUAAUUUUUUGUAAGGAUGAUCUAUGAAUGAAGACCUUAAAAAUAGAUUGUUUGGAUCGUUGAAAAAAAAUUCAUAGGGUACCCUAAAGGACGUUCCUCAAAUAAAAUUAUUUGAAAGAUCCCUUAAUAGAAGGGGACUAUAUAUAUGUAUCAAAACAUAAUAAUAUGUAUAUUAAUGUAUGUUAUAUAAAAGACUUAAAUUGUAAGAAUCUCAUUUUCAUGUAGUAACAGAUUUAGGAAAUUUUUUAGAAAAAAGGCAAUAUUUAAAUGACUAACGGGAAAGAAUAGGUUUCAUUGAGGCAAAGACUGGGUUUAGAGUGAAGCACCUUUAGGUGGAAAUCUUGGAAUGCCAUCAAAGUCAUAUAGGGAUAAGUUGGACAUUGACUAAAGAUAGAAAAUACAAGGGAUGAGUAACAAGGCUCCCUUGAAGCAUGCAAUUUAGUGACCAAUUUCAAAGGUAGGGAAGGUAAGAAACGAAUAGAAAAGUGAUCAAGAGACACAAUCAAAGUGGCAUUAACAAUUAGGCAAAACAAGAAAAUAAUAAAGCAACUGAUCUUUGUUCGAAAAAAAGGGAAAAAACCAUCAUCGAUUGACUUGUUCAAAAAAAGGAAUUAGGCAAACCAAGAACAUAAUAACGCAACUGAUCUUCGUUCAAAAAAAGGGAAAAAACCUUCAUUGUUUGACUUGUUCCCAAUGCCACUGAAUGAUAAACAUAUACAAACUUUCCCCAGUAUAUAUCUAUUAUUGUUAUAUAUAUAUAUAUAUAUAUAUAUAUAUAUAUAUUAACACAGUCUUUUUCACCUAUUUCUCUAUUUUUUUGGUGGACACAUCAGACUUCCUCCUUGCCCUUACAACCAUAUUUGUGAAUUUUUAAAAUUAUCUAAUUCUACAUAUAAUAUAUUAUCAAGUUUCAAUAGAGUUAAUUCACUUAAUUAAAGCUUGUUCAACUUUCUCUUAGUUUUCUCUUCACCUAUGGUUUGUUUGGGUUCGUGAAAUUUUUUAUUGUGUUCUCUUCACAUAUGGUUUGUUUAGGUUUGUGAAAUUUUGGAUUGUGUUUACUUUGGCAUCUCUCCACAUAUAUACUUUACUGACAGUAAAUUCUUCAUUAUCAUGUAUGUAAUGUGUGUGUAUAUAUAUAUACAAUUAUUCUCUUAUUUGCACGAUAUUAUUAUUGUGCGGAUGCUAUUAUAAAUAAGAAGGAAAGUAUAGAUGGAUAAUAAAAAAAUACAUGAUAUCUGCACGAUAUAAUAACAUCCGAACAUUCACAUAAGAGAAUUUCUGUAUAUAUUUUAUAUUUAUGUCUCUCUUUGAAUGUGUGUUUCCUUCUGUGUUGAUGUGUUUAUGAUGAUUGAGGAAUUGUGUAAAGGCAUCCCCUACGAGUUUAAAUAGAUGAGGGUAAAAAGUAUGAAAAAGUGUUUGGGUACGUACCAAGUUGAUGUAUCUUCAGAGGAUGGAAGACAAGCAAUGGAAUAUUAUUAUCGAUUGUGCAGUUAGAAUUUGAUUUAUUCAAUUUGAACACACACAUGACAUCCUUAGAAGUUAAUGGAUAUAGGAAAAAUUAUAUAUAAAAAAUGUACAUAUUUUCAACAAUUAAAAUUAAUUUAAAAUUGAAAAAGGAGAAGAAAAAAAGAAUGUCAUAUAUUCCUUGAUUCGGCCCCUCAACUUUAACCACACCGCCCAUCUCUCAACUUUAAGUAUCGUACCAGGGGUUGGUUGCUUCUUCCAUAUGAGGCAGUUGGGGUGAAUUAGACACACAGUCCAAUUUAGCAUCUAAUCAAAAUGACACAUCACUUUCUGUGUCCUUGUGAUCCCAUGUGAACAUCCCGCGAACAACGCAAGUCCCUUCAGCCAUAGAUUACAGUGACGCAUUCGACCAUUUGCCAACCUUCCAAGUCUCUAGAAAAUUAAAUUAUGUGCGUCUCUAGUCUCUAAAUUUAAAUCUGAGAUAUGUGAAACUCACAUAUGGGUUACGUAAGCAUAUUAACAUAUUUAGGGAAGUAAAGUCACAUCAUGAACUACUUGUGAUCACGUAUAUUAACUCUAGAAAAAUGCUUACUUCAUUUUUUAAAAUGUCAAUCACAGUUUGACAUGUGUGUAAAGAUUUUAUUUUAUUUUAUUUUUGUGUUUUUGAUGAAUUAUUUUUGCGUAUGUGCUAAACUGUGAUUUGCAAGAGAUAUGAAUGUCUCAUUCCCAGAAAAGAAGGAAGCAAUGUUAUUAACCUUAAGGACCGUAAAUAAUAUUAUUUAAAAAAAUACGCAAUCUGAUAGUUACAUCAAUUUCAGAGACGUUUUGUAAUAAAAAUACGAAGGACUUAGAAUGUUAUUGAUUGUGGUGUGUAACAUGUUUGGUGAAUAAAAUGACCUAAAGAAAGCUCAUUUAAAUGAUAGGUGCUGAAGAAUUCUCUAAUCAAUAUUGCCGCUUGAAGCUUUUCUUGCGAGUGACGUCGUGAUCUCACAAUACCAACCUUUCUCAGAAGUAAAUGUAAUUUAUUGUUUCAAUUGACUGAGGAAGGAGUUUGCUGAAUUCGUUAGUAGAUAUUAGAAAACAAAAAAGUUUUGAAAAGAGUCGCUGAUGGAUUUCAGUUUAUCUUUUUGGGUUUAGAAGUUUGUUAAUCCGUAAACAUGUGUUUUCAUGUUGCAGCAAGGAGUGGAAAGAACUUCUACAUUUGGAACCCCCUAAUUAGAGAAUCCAUAAGCCCUCCAAUACUCCCAAGAAAGAAUGGAAAUAGUUGGAAAAGGUGGAAAUAGUGGAAAGGAGUGUCACAGCAAGGCAGGCAUUGUGGUCAAUGACCAAGAAAGAAUGUCGAUCAAGUUAUGUCAUCCGUUUUUCGACACUAGAGUUGGGUGUCUCAUACAAGAGAGCCAGGAACAUGAGAUACAAAAGAGGGAUGAAGAUGAGAGACCAUUAAGGUUGGGUUUGUGGUCUUCUUUGAUUGUAUUUUGUUCUACACUUUAUAUGUUGUUUUCGUUGAGGAAUUUAUUGUUUCCUCUUAUAAUUGCAAUUUUAAUCAUUGGAUUCUUUUUGUUUAGAUGAUUUCUUAUGCGCUUGAUUACCUAAAUGUGCUUCAUUAGUUUGUUGGCUAAUAAAAUGUGUAAUUUAUCUAUACCUAGUAACCAUUUUCAUUUUCUCAAAAUGCACUGACCUCCAAGAAAGAAACCAAGAAGUUCAUCAAAUUUUCCAAUUCUGGUUAGUCCUCAUAAACUUUGUUGCAUGCAUAUUAAUUUUAAGGUAUGCUUGUCCUUGUAGUUCUUUUCCUUGAUAACAUUCUCAAAUAAAUCCCUAGUUUAUGUUCUUUUUUUCCUAUUUUUUUCUUCUCUAAUUUCCAUUCGACUGUAAUUAAAUUGGGAAGCCCAUAUGUGUAAAUAACAUGUUUGAAUUCUGAACUAGCUUUCAAUUUCUGGAUGUGUUUCUACAUAGGCAUGAUUCUUUUUUUUAGUUUCCAUUCGACUGCUAUACAGGAAAUUAAGAUGUAAAUAAGAAGUUUGAAUUUUUGCCUCACUAUCAUAUUCUUAGUAUGUUUCUACAAAGACAUGACACUAUUCCAUUGAUUUUUACUUAAUUUUAUGUAUGUGUAGUCCUUUGAUGUAGAACAAAUCAUGGGUUUGUUCCUACGAAAGAAAUAUGGAAAAAGGAGAAAAUUCAAAAUCAGAAAAUUGGGCUUCAAAUAUGGAAAAUCAUGCUUGAGCAUCAAUUAUGGUGCUAGGAAAAGAAAGAAAGAAAGACCUACUACGUUUGGAACCCCCUAAUUGAAGAACCCAUAAGCCUCCAGUACUCCCAAGUCACUAUAAGCCACAAUCCGUUGGAUUCGAGUUUGGUAAUAUUUUGAAAUUGUAUAAACUACUCCUCAUUAUGUCCAUAAAGAAGCUCCUUAUUAUUUUCAGGUUUGGAGUGGAUACAGAAUGGAGAAAAGUGGUGAGUGAAAAUAAUGGUGAAGCGGAAGGAUAAACAAUUCGGGGUUUACCUUAAUAGUCAACUUCAUUGGAUUGGAACAACAGGUGGACACAACAUAGAUGUGAUUUGUACCUUUAAUCUGCGCUAUGAAUUACAUGAAGAGUCACACAAGUACGUGGCGUGAUUUUCUUCUGGCGGUUUUGAAUCCUCAUACAAAACCAAUUAGCAGCUUCAAUUUACAAGAAAUUUGUACAAAUAUUGAAGUAUAUUUAUGUAAUGAACAAUAUUUAUGAUAUAAUGAACAGAUGAGUUCACUAGGCUCAAGUUCCUUAGCGGUGUCGUCUAUUUGUUCGUUCAGCUCUCUUCAUUAUGUUUGACGAGUGAUAGGUUUCUCAUCCUAUAAUGAAGGGAACUGAACAAGAAAAUGGAAGACAUCGUUGGAGGAUCCUCAUCCUAUGCAAGGAAUGUGCUUAGAUUUUAUACAAGUUUAAAUCUCAAUGUCGAUGCAGACAUUCUUAUUUCAUUAGUGGACCAAGAUGAGAUGAGUAUAAUUCGUAAAAAGAAUUUUGAGGUGAGAUUUGGAACAAAAAUAGAGAAAGUGCCAAAGUUUCAUUUACUGUACAUGCAAGAUGAAAAGUCUAAACAAAAUGUAGUAAAAGAUAGCUAAUUCAUCGAGAAAUUUUCCAUAACUUGUUUGGCUUUUAUUUUAUUAGAAAAAUUAUCAAGUUCUUAUUUUAUGUUCUUACUUUUGAUGCCUCGGGACGUAACAGCCACCCGUAUCUGGGAUUUCAAGCCUAUCAUGACGUUAAGAAUUUCAUCCACUCUGGGGUUAAUUAUUUUCCUUCUUUAAUAAAGUAUUUAGCUAUAUAUUUCUAAAAAACUAAAAAAUAUUUAGCUAAAUGAACUAUAUUGAUAAUUAACCAUGGUGGAAAGUUUUGCAGCACUUUUCGGCAGCAACAAAGAGAAGAAACUUUUACUUCUAUUCGGACGGCCGGAGUACGUCACUGACACUGAGGGAUUUUGCAUCAUUCCCCGUUGCAAAAUUCAAUUUCUGUAAUUCAUUUGUAGUCUAUAAAGCAAUCAUACUAUUUAUUUUUAAAAAAUUUAAAUAACUCUAACGUUUUAUCUUCCUUAAUUACAGUGGGCAUAACGUUGGCACAUGAGAUAAUGCAUGCAUGGUUGAGGCUUCAAGGUAUGAAUAUGGAUUUAGGCUUUAUUAUUCACUACAAAUAAUUUGCAUGAAAAAAAUAAUAAGUUUUAAACUUAUGCCUACCCUCAAGAGUGCUUUAAAUUUUUGUUGGUCUAAUAGGUUUUUGUAUAAUAUUGUAUGAAACUCUCUAUUUCUGUGUUCUUAUUUUUCCUCAAUAAUGAGUUCUUUUUGUAGGUAUAAUUGGUGAUAGGAAACCGGAAAGAUUGGUAGAAGAAGGUAUUUCUCAAGUAAUGUCAUACAUGUACCGGAAAUGGUUUUGUUCUAGAGGUUUUAAGUACUCCUCAUUCAACAAAAUCAAUGAGCAACUUUAGUUUACAAAAGAUUUGAAUAAAUGUUUUGCAAAUCUUACGAAAAUUGAUUCAGAUGAAGCUUAUCGUGAAGGGUUUAAGCAAAAUAUGCAUGCUGUGAAAGAAAAUGACUUCAAAAAGACAUUGGAUUGCAUCGUUUAAAAAAGACGUUUGGUACCUAAGAUGGAAGAAGAUGAAGAUAAUUGUAAAGAUGCAAAAGGAAGUCUCACACUACACAAAAAUAACGCGGCACGCCGGCACCACGAGGGCUACGGUGGGCUAUAGCCUAAUGAGGUCUUUGGGUUAAAAAUAAAAAUAAAACCUAUAUAUUUGCCUUCUUUUAAUAUUGUCCAGAUAUUAUAUAUUAAGAGAUGGCAAUGUUAAUUUUAAAUCGGUGUUAGUAAUUUCUUCCUUAGCUAAAGCGUGCUUGGUAUGUUCCUUGGAAUUAAUUAACUUAAUAUUACAAUUUCUCCUUUGAUAUGACAUUUUUGUAAUUAACAAUGUCUAUGACCAUUUUUGUAAUUAAAUCAGACCCCAGCAAAAGAAAACAGAUAAUAUAUCACAGGGUUACAGAAAAUUACAUUUUUCAUAUCACAUGUAUAAGACUGAUAAGCUAUAUAUGGUGGGCUUGGGUAGAUGUGGUUGCUGAUGAUGAACACAAUCUUCUUCUUCUUGGCGUCUGGUGCUUUAGGCUUCUGGUUGGUUUUGAAAACAGAACAGAAAAACCUGGUUGGUUUGAGCCUUCUUUGAGAGUUAAAUAAUCGAACAAAGAAGUGGGAUAUAUCUGGAAAAAAAGAAAAAAGAAAAAAGAAUCAGAUUCUGUGGAAGCCAUUAACAAGAAUGCAUGAAAGAAAGUGACUAAGCUGAAGGAGAUGCCAGGAAAGUAUUUGACAAGAUGAACCCUUGUUUACUCGGUAAGUCACGGUGCAAACAAUUUGUUUUGUAUAUUUCGGUUAACGGGUGAAUUUGUACUAAAGAAAUUAAGGCAUAAUCACACACAUAACACAGGUGUUUGAGUGAUUCACCCAUAAUGGGGCUACAUCCACUAUAGUUUAUGGCUUUGUAUUUGUAUUUGAAUAGGAGAUUACAUUGUACAUAAGAGAGAUAUGGGGAGAAAGACUUGAGAGCUCUAGUAGAAGAGAAAUAGGGAGCUUGAGAUAGCUUUGGACAGCUCUUGGAGAUGGGAAUGGUCCCAUGAAACAACUUGAUUUCCAAAAUAACGCGGCACGCCGGCACCACGAGGGCUACGGUGGGCUAUAGCCUAAUGAGGUCUUUGGGUUAAAAAUAAAAAUAAAACCUAUAUAUUUGCCUUCUUUUAAUAUUGUCCAGAUAUUAUAUAUUAAGAGAUGGCAAUGUUAAUUUUAAAUCGGUGUUAGUAAUUUCUUCCUUAGCUAAAGCGUGCUUGGUAUGUUCCUUGGAAUUAAUUAACUUAAUAUUACAAUUUCUCCUUUGAUAUGACAUUUUUGUAAUUAACCCUAAACCCUAAACCCUAAACCCUUUUAAUUUCCCUGGAAACAACUUGAGCCUUGAACUAAAUAACAGAACCUUUUGCCCUGGCUGAAAUUCCUUCCGUAAAAUUUGACUGUCAUGAAAUGCCUUAGUUCUUUCCUUGUAGAUGCGAGAACUAUCAUAAGCACCUUGACGAAUUUCCUCUAGCUCAUUUAACUGCAAUUUCCGCUUUUCCCCAGCUGAGUCAUAUGCAAAAUUUAACUCUUUAAUGGCCCAGUAAGCUUUAUGCUCCAGCUCCAUAGGUAGAUGACAGGCUUUCCCAUAAACAAGUCGGAAUGGUGACAUCCCAAUAGGAGUUUUAUAAGCUGUCCUGUAUGCCCACAAAGCAUCAUUUAGUUUGAAACUCCAAUCCUUGCGUGUAGAGCUCACUGUUUUCUCCAAAAUACGCUUUAUUUCUCUGUUUGAAACUUCAACUUGGCCAGAUGUCUGUGGGUGGUAUGGUGUAGCCACGCGAUGAUGAAUCCCAUAUUUUGCCAAUAGGUUAGCAAAUGGUUUAUUAAUAAAAUGCUUCCCCCCAUCACUAAGAAUAACACGCGGUAUUCCAAAACGUGGAAAUAUAACCCCCUGGAGGAACUUCAGGACCACUGAUCCUUGAUUAGUUGGUGCUGCAAUGGCCUCGACCCAUUUUGAAACAUAUUCCACAGCCACUAAAAUAUAUUGGUGCCCAUUAGAAGAUGGGAAUGGUCCCAUGAAAUCAAUACCCCAAACAUCAAAUAGUUCAACAAUUAGGAUACUUUGCUGGGGCAUCUCAUUCCUUCUGGAUUGAUUGCCGACCCUUUGACACCUAUCACAUGCCUUGCACCAAUUCCGUGAAUCUCUAAAAAGUGUUGGCCAAAAUAACCCACUCUGUAGGAUUUUCUCUGCUGUCCUUUUCUGCCCAAAAUGUCCUCCACAAGCGUAGUGAUGAGCAAACUUUAAAACACUUUCCUGUUCAACCUCCGGAAUACACCUGCGAAUAAUCUGGUCUGCACAAUACUUGUAUAAGUACGGUUCAUCCCAGAAAUAGUGCUUUACAUCAAAUAAAAACUUCUUUUUCUGCUGGUAGGAAAAAUCUGGAUGCACCACACCCUUAGCCAAAUAAUUGACAAUAUCUGCAAACCAAGGUGUGUCAAUUUUGACAGCAAAUAGCUGUUCAUCUGGGAAACUUUCACUCAAUGGUAGAGAAUCUGCCUCUGUAGCUGCUGGAAUAAUUAAUCUAGAUAAAUGAUCAGCCACAACAUUCUCACUGCCCUUCUUGUCUUUAAUCUCUAAGUCAAAUUCUUGAAGUAAGAGAACCCAACGAAUCAAUCUAGGCUUUGCAUCCUUCUUAGACAACAAGUAUUUAAGUGCAGCAUGAUCUGUAUAGACAAUUAUUUUAGCCCCAACCAAAUAAGACCGAAAUUUCUCUAGUGCGAACACAACUGCCAACAAUUCCUUCUCUGUAGUUGCAUAGUUAAGCUGUGCAUCAUUGAGAGUACGACUUGCAUAAUAGAUGACAUGGGGAAGCUUAUCUUUUCGCUGUCCUAAAACUGCCCCGACAGCAUAAUCUGACGCAUCACACAUUAGUUCAAAUGGUAAAUCCCAAUUUGGUGCAGCAAUGAUGGGUGCCGAAGUUAGGAGGGCUUUCAACUUGUUGAAUGCUUCUAAACAGGCCUUAUCAAAAUUAAAUGGUGCAUCCUUAGCCAAUAAAGUGCACAAAGGUCGACUAAUCUUGGAGAAAUCCUUGAUGAACCGACGAUAAAAACCUGCGUGUCCUAAGAAGGAUCUCACACCUUUUACUGAUGUAGGAGGUGGCAGCUUUGCAAUAACUUCAAUCUUUGCCUUGUCAACCUCGAUGCCUUUGCUAGAAAUUGAAUGACCCAAGACAAUUCCUUGUUCAACCAUGAAAUGACACUUUUCCCAGUUUAGCACUAAAUUCGUCGCUUGACAUCUCUGAAGAACUAAUGAUAAAUUCUGUAAGCACUGAUCAUAUGAAUCCCCAAAAACAGAAAAAUCAUCCAUAAAAACUUCCACAAUAUUUUCGACCAAGCCAGAAAAAAUACUCAUCAUACAACGUUGAAACGUAGCAGGUGCAUUGCAUAAUCCGAAUGGCAUCCUCCGAUAAGCAUAAGUACCGAAUGGACAAGUGAAAGUAGUCUUCUCUUGAUCCUCUGGUGCGAUUGGAAUCUGAUUAUACCCAGAAUACCCAUCAAGAAAACAGUAAAAAGCCCGACCAGCCAACCUUUCUAACAUCUGGUCAAUAAAAGGCAAUGGAAAAUGGUCUUUUCUCGUCCCUGCGUUAAGCUUCCGGUAAUCUACACACAUUCUCCAACCCGUAGUCAAUCGUGUAGGAACUAACUCAUUAUUAUCAUUUUUCACCACUGUAAUACCGGUUCGUUUAGGCACAACUUGAGUCGGGCUAACCCAUUUACUGUCAGAAAUAGGAUAAAUCAUACCUGCAUCAAGUAAUUUCAUAACCUCUGUUCUGACCACCUCUUUCAUAAUUGGGUUAAGGCGGCGUUGAGCAUCAACUGUUGGCUUUACGUCGUCUUCCAUUAAUAUUCUGUGCAUACAUAGUGCUGGGCUGAUUCCCUUGAUGUCCGCAAUUGUCCAUCCCAAUGCAUCUUGAUAUUUUCUCAAUACACGAAGCAAUUUAUCCUCCUCUGUCGGUGUUAAAUCUGCUGCAAUUAUAACUGGCAGCGUCUCUGCAGCUCCUAAAUAUGCAUAUUUAAGAUGUUGUGGUAAAGGCUUCAGCUCCAAUUUUGGUGGCUGUUGUCUGGAUGGUUUAAGGGGCUGUUUGGGCUCUCCUAAACUCUCAUACACAUUCCUAAAUUUUGGCAACACUGUGGGCAGACUGUUCAAUGCGUGUAUGUACUCAUGAACACCUUCAUCUUCGGAAUCUGUCUCAAGUUCCCCCUGUAAAACAUGCAGCAACUGAUCUGUUUUUGAAUUAGCACAAAAUCUGUCAUGCACCAUACUGUCUACCAUGUCAAUACGCAUACAAUCCUGCUGUUCAGCAGGACGUUUUGCUGCCUCAAACAAAUUAAACACCACAGAUUGGUCUUGAACCCGUAAAGUCAAUGUUCCAGCUUCCACAUCAAUUAAGGUCCUAGCUGUUGCCAUAAACGGCCUCCCUAAAAUAAUAGGUGUUUGAAGGUCUUCAUCCAUGUCUAAAACCACAAAAUCUGCCGGUAGAUAAAGAUCAUCAACCUUAAUAAUUAGAUCUUCAAUAACACCUCUUGGAUAAGUGAUUGAACGGUCAGCUAGUUGAAGUAUAAUUGAUGUAGGCUUUAAAUCUCCUUGCCCCAAUCGCUGAAAAACAGAAAAAGGCAUCAAAUUAAUACUUGCACCCAAAUCAAUUAAAGCACUUUUAAAAUUAGAAUUUCCAAUAGUGCAAGAAAUAUUAAAACUCCCUGGAUCUUUUUUCUUAGGUGGUAGUUUGUGUAGCAAAACUGCACUGCACUGUUCUGUCAAAAUAACUUUUUCCAAAUCUGAAAGCUUCUUUUUGCUGCUGCAAACUUCCUUCAAAAAUUUGGCAUAUGAUGGAAUUUUCUUGAUUGCAUCCAGUAAGGGAAUGUUGAUUUGAACCUUGGAUAAUGUCUGCAUAAAGUCCUUAAGUUGCUGAUCUUUUGCUUUAGGCUUCAAACGUUCUGGAUAUGGAAUUGGGGCCUCAUAAACACGCUCAGGAACUUGUUUUGGAACAGUUUCUAGAUCUGCCGAAUUAUGUUUUUCUGCAGGUUUGGCAGGUUCUGCUGCUGCAAAAUUUUCUGUAUUAUCUUCCACUAUUUGCUGCUCCUUUUCAAUGCUAUUUUCACGAUUGUCAUAGCUUUUUCCACAUCGUAAAGUCCGAACAACUUUGCAAUCUUCACGUCCAUUUGGAUUAGGAAUUGUUUGACUAGGAAAUUUGCCCUUUUCUCUGUUUGAAAUCUGUGUAGCUAGCUGUCCAAAUUGUUGCUCCAAACUUUUAAUUGAUGCUUCAACAUUUUGAAAUCUUUGAUUGUUGCCCUCGAUGAAUGAUUGAGUUGUUGCUGCCAGUUUAGCAAGUUGAUCUUCCAGAGAUGGUUUGGAGGGAACAAAAGGUUUUUGUGCAUGCUGGAAUGGUUUGGCAUUAGUCUGAUUGUCACCCCAUUUGAAAUUAGGGUGAUCCCUCCAUCCAGGAUUGUAAUGAGUUUCAUAUGCAUCAUUCCUAGGCCUUUGAUAGCUGUUCAUCAUAUUGACAUGUUGUUCAACAAGCUCUGGGUAAGAGUCUCUAUGUGGGCAGCCCAUUAUGUCAUGUGUAGCCAUACUGCAUAUAGUGCAAACUGUUGAUGUAGGUGGCUGCUGUGUAGAACCUGCUAUAUGUUGUAGAAGCAUAUCAAACUUUGCAUCAAUUUUCUUAUCCAUUUUUUCCAUUUGUGCAGACAUGUUGGGAGAACCUACUGAUAACUCAAAAAUGCCCCUUUUCUGUGAAUGUUCUGCUGCCCAUUGCUGAGAUUCUGUAGCCAUCAUAUCAAACAGUUCAAAUGCCUCUCUUGCAGAUUUAUUUGAUAAUGAUCCUCCAGCUGAUGCAUUCACAUGGCUCUUAGAUGUAGGAUUAAGCCCAUCAAAGAAAAUAUUCAUUUGUGUAUUUGAAUCAAUUUUGACAUGUGGACACUUUAUGUACAUCUCUGUAUAUCUCUCCCACGCUUCAUGAAACUCUUCAUUGGGCUUCUGUGUGAAUGUCAAAAUCUCCCUUUUGUAAUUCAAUGUCUUGGAUGCUGGAUAAUAUUUGUUCAGGAAUUUUGUGUGUAACUGCUGCCAAGUAGUAAUGCUAUUAGCUGGUAGAGUGAAUAACCAAGUUUCUGCCUUGUCCUUCAAAGUGAAAGGGAAAAGACGUAACUUAAUAGCCUCAGCAGAAAAACCCCUAAUCAAAAUAUUCUUGCAACCCACAAUAAAUUUUGCAAUAUGUAUGUUUGCAUCUUCAUUAGGCAAUCCCCGAAAAGUAGGUAGAAUUUCAAGCAUAUGGUGCCUGAUCUCGAACGAAUCACCCUCUUCUUGUUCAGGAUACACAAUGCAAUUGGGAACAUCAGUGGCACGGGCUUCCAAUGACUCCCUGAGUGGUCUACCUGCCGUAGGUAAUUCUAACGCCAUGUUACUCUCGUUUGCAAACAAAUUCUGCAAAAAAGUGCCCUGCAGUGAACAGUCCCAAGCCCAAAUAACUUCUCUUCGCUGUCUAUGCAGUGUGCGCUCUGGUUCUGGAUCAAAUUGUACAAUCUGUGCAGUUCCUGAUCUGGUCUGGACCAUGCAGUCUGCAAAAUCUGCAACAGAAACAAAAUUGUUCAAUUUCAAUUUUGUAUUUUAUUUUUUAUUUUGGACGAAAAUUAAAAAGUAAAAUAAAAUAAAAUAAAAUAAAUCAGAAAAAGGUUAAACAAAAAUUGUCUAAAAUAGUCCCCGGCAGCGGCGCCAAUUUCUUGAUAGGAUUUUUAGUACUUGUGCAAACAGUGUUAAAAAUCACAUAAAAUACUUGCAAGAAUACAAGGCUAUUGUAGUAUAGAUGCUCAUGCAAGGUCGUUUUCCUCAAGGACUAAUUAGCAAUUUAUGUAAAAACAAAUUCCAAUUACUACUUAAAAUAAAAAGUCAAGAAAGAUGAUUAUAAAUUUGGUGGAUUCUAAAAAACAAAUAUUAAACAAAAACAAAUACGAUUGAGAGAAAGAGUUUUGAAUAUCAAUUUAUAAAAACACUAGGGUUUCACCAUCACCUAGCAAUCCUAUGAACUUUUACCAAUUACUUAUGAUUUGCACAUGCCACUUUGAAGGUUAGGUUUUCCUAAUGUAUAUUCUACUUGGAACCUCCAACACAGAACGUAUAUCCAACAUGCAACCCGUCCGGACGUUCGGAUCAAAUCUGAACAUGAAAGACUCAUUAAGUUUUGUGAAAACCCUUUGAAAAACCAUGCAACCCUUAAGACGUGGUGUUCAUCUUAAGUGAAAUUACAAUUAUUAAUCACAAGAAGCUAGCAUCAAUUUCAGGGAACCUUCCGACCAAAAUUGCAUCCAAUUACUUUUCUAAAGAUCCUAAUGGUGAUCAGGCAUUAAGACAAUUAGAUAGUUUAAAACAGUGAUUAACAAUUCAAAAUACGCAUGCACUCAUCAUAAGCAAUUAAAUAAAAAUCACAUAUUCAUGCUAAGGUUCAAGGCUUCACCCUAGCAAAAGAAAUUUAGUUACGCAUACUCAUAAUUGAAAUCCAAGAAAAUAUCAUUAAGAAGAAAAGAACGAAAACACCUGAAAGUUGUGAAAACCCAAAACCCUAGCAAUUGCUCUCCACAAUGCAAAGUUCAAAAGUGAAAAGGGAGUCCUUCAAUUCCUCGUGAGAAAGAGCUUAAAUACCCCUUAAAACCUAGCUGCCAAUGUACAGCUUUUCUAUCCCCACAAGGAAACUAAUUAAAGUAAAAUAAUACUAGGAAAUAAAGUCCAAAUUGGAAUAGGAGAAUUUGCCUAAAAUCUGCCCAGCCACGUUUUGGCCCCAAAUCUCCUCCAAAUCUGGCCCAAGAUAGCUUGUUUUAAAGAUAAAAAUGUUCUGAACACUUCUCUAGAAGGCCACGAACCCAUUCGAGGUCAUCUUGGGCUUCAAAAACGCAAUAAAAGCCCAACACGUCACUAUUCCAGCACCGCGCACUGCUCAUUUAUUUUAUUGCCCGAAAAUAACCGCUUGGAAGAAAGAUCUGAAAUUUUGAUACGAUCAAGCUAAGUGACUCAAGAACGUCCUCCAACUGGAAUUACUCCAAAAUUCCUCAAUUUGAUUAUGUUUUGCUCCAGAGAGAGUCGAAAGUCCUAUAUUGAAAAUAUAAUUCAAAGUAUCAAAAUUCUUCCAAAAUAUUAACCAAAAUAUACUAAGAAUGAGGUUAAUAUAUAAUAUAAAAUAUGUCCAUCAUAGUCCAAGUAGUGGUAGGGAACGCAUGACUCUCCUUGAUUUGGGGAUUCUACAUGGCCUCCCCCUGCUUUGGGGGGCGUGGACAUUGAGAAGGCAUGGGAGGGGGCAUGGCUAGCUACUCCUCUUUUGGUAGGAUGUGAGGUAUGACUGAUAACAAUAUUAGUUAGUUUAUAUUCAGUUAAAUUGUCACGUGUGUGCUUACGUAUUGUUAGUUAGUAUUAACUGUAAUUAGUUAGACUGUUAAGUUUUAAUUAUUGAGAUAUUAAACAUUGAUGACACUACGAUUGUAAAUAUUUUUGUGAAAUCAGUAUACAGAUAAGGGCGGAAUUAGGAAUUUUUUAAUGGAUGGGCUAGCUAAAGUUAUUAGCUUAAAAUUUAAUGAUUAUUUUUUUUGGUACUUAAAAUUUCUAUAGUCUUUGUGGAAAUAAAAGUAAACAUUAAAUCAUAUAAACCAAGCUAGUUCAUAGCUCCAUAGAUUAAUUUUCAAUAAGUUUUAACAUAAACCAAAUAUGGUUUAACACCAUAGUGGAUUGAAUAUCUAAGGCUUUUUACCUCAAUUGACCUCAGGUUCCUUUAUGCAUUCAUAUCAUACAUGAAAAAUUGGUUUAUGUAAAAAUAUUGAUUAAGUAUGAAAAAUGGGUUUUCAGAAUAAUCAUUUUCUCAAGAUAAUUUUUUGCGGCUUUUAUUCCUCACACAUCAAAUAAGAAAACUUGAUUUUAUGGGAUUUUAAUAUGAAGUAUAUAUUGACUUAAUGAGCCAUCAUUUUUAGCGUAAAUAGUAUUUUGCACUAAAAUCGAUUUUUCAUAUUUUGAUUUGGUGGGAAUUUGAUUUUCUAGUAUUUUUAUUUGAAUCCAAAUGGGGAGUACUUCCUUAUUUACAUUGUAAACUUAAGUAAAUGGAGUAAUAUAAAAAUAAAUAAAAUUAAAAUGACAAAGACAAGCUUAGUAUGGUUCCGCCCUUGUAUACGGAGCAUAUCAUUUUCUUUUGAAUCUUCUUCUUCUUUCUUAGCUUUCUUAAUUCUUAAGCUUCUUCUUCUAAACUGUUAACAAUAACAAGCAAGGGUUAUCCCUUAACUGGUGGGAUUUGUUUAAGGAGAAAGGUGAGGUCAACAUGGUGUCAACAAUUUCUUUCUUGAGGAAAUAUAUAUAGAUAUAGGAAUUUGGUCCCAGUAUAUCUAUAUAUAUAGAUUGUCAAUCACAGUUUUGUCAUUCACAUGAACACGGAACUAGCAAUAUUUUCACACAAGAUCAUUUUGGAAUGUGGUCCUUGUAUAAUGUUCAUUCCUCAGUUAGUUAAGCAGAGAUUUCAGUGGCUUUGACAUCGGCUGUUUUCAUCAAGUGGGCACAAGAGCAAACAAAAACUCACACACCACAGAAAGCAACAAACGAGUAAUCCCACUAAAAUCAAAGAUGCAGACUUUGCCGAGGUUUUUCCUAAAAGAAAGAAAAAGAAAAUGAAGGCCAGGGCAGGGGCAGUCAACAGAGAAAGCGACUAAUGAGAGUGAGGCUCUUCGAAAUCAAAUGGGUAUGUGCAGAGGCCAUCAUGACAGGGAAUAUUCGACGAGGAAGAUGGAGGCCUUUCCGAUUUUCUUGAAGCUUCGUGUAAAUAUGUCGUAACCUGAGAAAGAGAAGGUGCUAAAUUAUAAUUGUAAGUAUGUGCAUUACAAAUGGGUUUGGUGUGUAAUGGUAGGUACGUGCUUAAUUGCUCUUCUUUGUUGGUGGUUGUGUUUGGUGUCUUAGGCCUUCGACCCAACUCUAAGAGCACUUCUACCCGUGUAGGUCAUCCUCCAAAAACCAAUUCUAGUGGUGAAGGUCAGUUCGGGCAAGAAAUGGGCUCCAUCAACCUGGGUUAUUGCUUGGGUUUGUUGAUGUCAGCAUGAUAUUAGAGACCAAUUAAAAUAUCCAAAAAAAUUAUAAAAAUAUCAAAUAAUUUUUUAAAAAUACCAAAAAAUUCAGAAUUUUUUAUUAUUUAUAAAUACCUAGCCAUGUUCUUCACUUCCCACACCAAAACUUCAUACAAAUUUCUCUCCUCAUAUCUCAUGUGAAUAGUGUUUGCAAAAUAAAAACAGGUAGGGCAGUCACUAUUCACAUAAAUAGUGUCUACCCAUACUUGCCCUUACCCUUUGUUGUGGCACCAUGAGUAAAAGUACUCUAAACUUAAGCCUAGAAGCAAUGAGACAACCCUUAACUCUAUCCACCAAGCUAAGCUGGUACCCGAUAAUUAAAGUGCUUAUGUCAACGAGGUCUAGCUAAAUAUAAAAAAGAUCUUGACGUGCAAACCAGUGAUCUCAUAUUAUUAUUAUUUUUUGAAAAAAAACUCGGGAUUUUGUUUUAAAGGAAAACAUAAUUUUAUCAAGUUAAGAGGCUUUUACCCUUUUCUGCCUCUCUAACAUGAGUGACGGUGAGCAAGCCAAUGCGGAUUAGCAAAUUAAUAUUUCAAUGUACCAUCCAUCCAUGCAUAUUGCAUGCCAUGGAUAUUGGGGGUGGGACCCUCUGAACAUCAUCCCUAGGGAAAGAAGAUGGAAAUUUAAGUUAUAAAAAGUGUUUCCUAGGCACUAACUAAUUGGUGACUAAUGACCAAUUGGUUAUAGUUUACGAUGUGACACUGAUUUGGUAAUAAUAUGGGAUUUUCUUUUGAAUAAUAUAAAGACCAAACCGAUUCAUGAAUCUGCUGCCAGGAAGAUCGGAUUGGAACCCCUGGAAAUAGUAAAAGUAAUAUUUAUUUAUUGUAAAGCAAUUUGUGAUGGAUGGAAGGUCAUGGUUUUCAACAACAUAUCCAUAUUUUCAUUUGGUGGCUAAGCAUCUCUAAGUAUUUUGGGGUUCAAACUUUUCUGUCUAGUCUUUAAGACUUGAAUUGAAGCCUUACUAUUUCCAGUUGUAAAAUGGUGGUCUUCGCCAAUUCCACAACUUUUUCAUCAACUUUUGUAAUGAACUUCCUAGGCUAUUCCUCUAGGGCGCUAAUUAAGUAGAAAAAUUUGUGUGAAAAAAUUACCAUAUGGCAUACCGAAAUUGGCCAAUGAUAAUUCGACAUUAGCAGCGGAGUUCCCUGUUUUGUUCAUUUUGAUUUUUUUGAUAAGAUUUUGUUCAUUUUGAUGGUGUCCCAAGUUCACUCCAAUUUAUAGCUUAUUAGCUUACCAAUUUUGCAUAUCAUAUCAACUUUAAUACUAAAUCAGGAAAAAAAGAAACCAUGAGUUUUUUGGCCGAUCCAUAAUAAAUAAAUAUGAAAGAGCGACCCAACCCAACCCGCAAACAAACCCCACAAAUACACAUCUGCAAAAUACGUAUACAUAAACAGUAACAAAGAUACAAAAUUCUGCUUUUCAAGCUCACAGAGAGAGAGAGAGAGAGAGAGAGAGAGAGAGAGAGAGAGAGAGAGAGAGAGAGAGAGAGAGAGAGAGAGAGAGAUUCAGAUAGAAAAAGAAAACCCAGCAUUCUAUGAAAGCCAUGAAAAGUUUACAUCAACAUCACCAUGAAAUUAGCAUAUUCACAUAUGCCAUCCCAUCAGAACAAAACUCUGCUUUUCAAGCUCAGAGCUUAUCUGGAUUUCUUUGCGAAAAGGGGGGUUAUUAUGAAACUCCGGAUUAAUCAUAAGCUGCUAUGAAUCUAAUGAAAAGCACUGAGAGAGAGAGCAAAGAAAACCCAGAAUUCUAUAAUAAUAAAAAGCUAUGAAAAGUUUACAUCAAUCAAAAUCACCAAGAAAUUAGCAGAAGCAGAUAAGCAACGGCAUGGCUGUGUGUACUAAAAAUAGUAAAACACCAGCUCUUCUAUCCAUAAGCAUAUAUGCUAUGGUAAUGCUGGUGGGCAUGGGUAAACGUGGCUGCUGAUGAUGACCUUGUUGGCGUUUGAUGAUGUGGUGGUUUCAGAGACUCCAGCAGAAGCUGAAGGACUAUUAGUAUCAUCGGAAACAGAGCAAAAGCAUUGGACAAUUUGAUCAAAUAUCAUCCUCUUCACUAACCUCUUCUUCACUGGGAAGACACUCCCAGCUUUUGGUUUGAACAAACAUGGCUCAGCCUUGCUUUGAUCUUGAGAUGAGCUCAACUUCAGCUUCAUGGGCUCCUUUGGGUGGUGCUCUGUUUUGGGGCAGAGGAGGUCAUCUUCCCCAUCUGGCUUCAAGCACUUCCUUGCAUCUGAAGUUUCCUUCAUUGCCAUGUAUGUAAUCUCUCUCUCUCUCUCUCUCUCUCUCUCUCUCUCUAAGUGUGUGCUACUUCCUUUCCUCUGUGGUUAUGAGGAAUUGUGUGAAGCCGUGCCCUACGAGUUUAAUAUAUGAGGAAAUUAAGCUUCGAUUGUAGGCCCUACCUAGUACCUUACAUAUUCCAUUGCGUCACCUUGUCAUCAGCAGCAGGGUACGUGUGGGGACCUGCUGCUGAGUAGAGGAGGAUAUGGUGAUUGAUGAAGAUGGUUAUCACUGAGGAAGGACUUUGCUUUAAUUCGUUAUCUCCUAAUCUUGGAAAUUAGAAAGAAAACAGAAAAAUCUUCAAUUCCAUGUGACAAAGAAGAGGAAAAGGCAUUUCACAUGGGAAAAAAGAGCUGAAAUGACCUGUGGCAGGAGUAAUUAUUUGUACGGUUGCACAGUGAAUCUUAGAUGGAUUAGCUUAGCCUGGUUUUGUAGUCUGCCACUUUCGAUAGACAUAUAUGCAGAUCUCUGGUAUAUAUCUCUGUUUUGUUCAUUUUGAUGGUGGCUCAAGCUUUACUCUAAGAUUAUAACACACUGUCUAGCUGAUUAGCUUACCAAUUUUUUUAACAUCAUAUCAAAAGAAACCAUAUGUUUUUUGGCCGGUCCAUAAAUGAAACAUAUGAAAAAGCAACCCAACCCACAAACCCACACAUACACAUCUGAAAAAUACACACAUAGUACACAGUAACAAAGAUACGCAUAUUCACAUAUGUCAUCCAUCACAACAAAACUCUACUUUUCAAGCUCAGAGAGAGAUGAAAGAAAACGCAGAAUUCUAUGAAAACCAUGAAAAGAUUACAUCAACAUCACCAGGAAAUUAGCAGAGCAGAAACAGAAAAUCAUUCCAUAUCUAUGGUGGUGGGCUUGGGUAAACGUGGUUGCUGAUGACCUUGUUGGCGUUUGAUGAUGUGGUGGUUUCAGAGGCUCCAGCAGCAGAAGCUGAAGGACAAUCUGAAACAGAGCAAAAGCUUUGGACAAUUUGAUCAAACAUCAUCCUCUUCACUAACCUCUUCUUCACAGGGAAGACACUGCCAGGUUUUGGUUUGAACAACCAUGGCUCAGCCUUGGUUUGAUCUUGAGAUGGGCUCAAAUUCAGCUUCAUGGGCUCCUUUGGAUUGUGCUCUGUUUUUGGGCAGAGGAGGUCUUCUUCCCCAUCUGGCUUCAAGUACUUCAGCGCCUUCCUUUCAUCUGAAGAUUUCUUCAUUGCCAUCUCUUCUCUGUUGAUUGAGGAAUCGUGGGAAGCUCCCUGAUAGUUUAAAUAGAUUAGAAAUGUUUCCAUUGUG